UUCGCAAUGCCCGAAAGGGUGACGAAGCGACGCCGCGUGUGGGAAGAAGGCCUUCGGGUUGUAAACCACUGUCGGGAGUUAAGAAAUACAAGGAUAUUAAUAGUGUCUUUGUUUGACUAAGGCUCCGGAGGAAGCCACGGCUAACUCUGUGCCAGCAGCCGCGGUAAUACAGAGGCGGCAAGCGUUGUUCGGAAUUAUUGGGCGUAAAGAGCACGUAGGCGGCUAUGUAAGUCGGUUGUGAAAGCCUUCCGCUCAACGGAAGAACAGCAUCCGAUACUACAUGGCUUGAGUGCGGGAGGGGAGAGUGGAACUUCUGGUGGAGCGGUGAAAUGCGUAGAUAUCAGAAGGAACGCCGGCGGCGAAAGCGGCUCUCUGGCCCAUAACUGACGCUGAGUGUGCGAAAGCUAGGGGAGCAAACGGGAUUAGAUACCCCGGUAGUCCUAGCCGUAAACGAUGGGCACUAAGUAGAGGGGUU
RNAcentral lists this ribosomal RNA (475 nucleotides) under uncultured bacterium. Its description in RNAcentral is "bacterial SSU rRNA". It matches the Rfam family "Bacterial small subunit ribosomal RNA", at positions 365 to 830 of the family's 1533-position model. The record is from RNAcentral.